AGUCACUGACAUUAGAUACCCGGGUAGUCCCAGCCGUAAACAAUGUGCGUUAGGUGUGUCGGUAACCACGUGUUACUGAUGCGCCGAAGAGAAAUCGUGAAACGCACCACCUGGGAAGUACGGUCGCAAGGCUGAAACUUAAAGGAAUUGGCGGGGAGCACCACAACAGGUGGAGCCUGCGGUUUAACUGGAUUCAACGCCGGACAUCUCACCGGAUAAGACAGCUGAAUGAUUGUCAAUCUGAAGGUUUUACAUGACUAGCUG
This 264-nucleotide ribosomal RNA is filed under the name uncultured archaeon. Its description in RNAcentral is "partial 16S ribosomal RNA". It matches the Rfam family "Archaeal small subunit ribosomal RNA", at positions 719 to 982 of the family's 1478-position model. The record is from RNAcentral.